Molecule: long non-coding RNA, 1163 nt
Organism: Cloeon dipterum
Lineage: Eukaryota; Metazoa; Arthropoda; Insecta; Ephemeroptera; Baetidae
Exons: 3
Source: RefSeq, a predicted model, not a curated record
CUGCUCCAAACGUGCGGCAUUUAAAAAUGAACACACGUCAGAUUAAAUUCCGCUUUGGAAUCGGUGAAUUCCGAAUUUCGUGCUUAGAAUUUCUAAGCUCCAUGAAGGAACUGAGAAUCGUGGAGAUUGUUGGACUCUUUGACGAUAAAAUUCACUUACUGGCGCUUUUGGGAAGAGAACUUCCCAAUUUGCGAGUACUUAGCGCACCUGGCACUAUGUUUGAGUUCACCAAUAUGUCUGAGGAGGAAAUCAGAUUAUCAUUUGGGCAUCUAAGAUUGCUUCAUGUAUGUUGUUUGACGUUGGAGGAAAAGAAGAGGAUUUGGUUGGUGUUGCCAAAUUUGGACAUCAUCUGCGACGUCUUACCAAGUGGUCUCACUUUGGAAGAUUUCCUUGAAGACGAAAAUAUCCCAAGAGAGCGAAAAUAUCAAUAUUUUAAUGAAUACGAAUGGGAAUCGAAUGUCGAUGGAGAUUUUUCCAGCAUCAGAUACUUGCAGAUCAGCAGUACAACUAUGCCCUUUAAAUCCACACCACAUGAGUUAGAGAAGAAUCUACUGAAUCUGCCAACGACACUUAAUUGUCUGGACUUCUCCAUGUUGAGUUUUCAAGAGACAAUUGAAGCCGUCCUGCUCAAAUCUGGAUCAAACCUUCGCUGGCUUUCCUGAACAGGAAUUGAUGACCAGAGCGUCGAUCUGAACCUCAUUUCUGAACUCUGCCCCAAUUUGGAAUUUCUCAGUUUAUCAAGAGUCCAGGUCAUUGAAAAUGCCACCAAACAGGCCAACUUCAGCCAUCUCAAAGAAUUAGAUAUGAAACGUGUGUAUGCAAUGGUGAAUGGAAGCUUAACUGCUCUUUUGUCCUCUUGUCCGAACCUGCGAAAGUGCAAUUUAGAAGUACAUAGAUGCUGCCUAGAUGAUCUGCAGCAAGUCAAAAAGUUGAUCAUGGAAAAGAAGAUCCUGGGUUCGUUGCAGUCUCUCGAAUGGAGUAUACCAGGCAUUACAUCAGGACUUGUUUACAAAGAAAUUGCAGCAAUUAUGAAGAAUGCGUCCGCAAAUCUCCCAGAUUUUAGGGAAAUGAAGUUCACAAUCAACCGUAUCAGACCCAAUAUCGAUAAUAUUCGCUUCAAGUGCUACACUUGGCCAAAUCACGAUGGCUUAAAUGAAGCCAUA